AUCUGUGUAAUUAUUUAAAUCUUUGAAAUAUUUGGAUAUUGCUUCUCAUUAGAGAAAGUCAGAAGCAGACCCUGAAGCGAUUCCUUUGGAGCAACCGUUAACCAGAACACUACUUUUUCUUUUGCAGUCCAAACAAGAAAAUGAUGGAGAUUGCUUUUAAAAGACCCGUAUUUCUCGGCCUACUGAAAACCAGACUGGAACCCUAGUUGCCCCUGUGCCAGUUUUCAUGGUCCAAUGCUAGAAUGGAGUACCCCGAACGCUCCGGUACCUCCGACGUGAUGGAUGUGUCAUCUGAUGACAGAACAAAGGAAGAGAGCUCGGACCCAGGAGAGGCCUUGGAACAGACUUGGGAUCCGCUUGCAUUUUCUGGGACUUGCCGGGCUGAAGAUGCCGUUCCCCCUCCUUCUUUGGGUCUUGUACAGGACAGAUUGGGGGGUCUUCUCUGCAGAAGGGAAACCCCCUCUGAGAAAUCCAUUCCAGUGUUAACGCAGAAUAAUCUUGAACUGGGCUUGGACUUCUCUGAGAGAUCCGGCCAGCCUUUCGAGACGAUAAAAAACUUGAAAACUCAGGAUAAGCGUAAUAAUGACGCUGCCCAGUCUGUUUUUUGGGCUGGUAUCCUGCAAGCUCAGUUGUGUGUCUUAGAUCUUCAGGAGGAAUUGGAUAAGCAGGAAGAAUCUCUGCAGGUUCACAGUGUGAAUUCUGAAUCCCUGGACUCAGCUACCUUCAACAAUCCUUCCCUCCUGGCAAGUGAUAGUGAGGAGGAGCCAGAAGAGAAUUUAGAAAAACAGGAGGAGGAAGAAAGCGAGGAGGAGGAAGAGGAGGAGGAGGAAGAGGAGGAGGAGGAAGUUGAAUACUUAUUUUUCAAUAACCCACUCUUUCAGGAAAGUCCUCACUUAACCAGAACUUUUGAAGGACAAGUUCCAUGGUCACAAUCAGAAGGAGAAACGUCCACUGAGAAUUACAAGAAAGAUGGCAAAAGUGAAGUGGGCUCUGGAAACCAUCACGGUGACUUCUUUUCCCAGGCCAAGGUGGCAGUAAGGCCUGUGGGCAGGACUUAUUUAUCUUCAUCUGGUCCGGAUGCUGAUGAGGACACAACCGCCUGUUCUUGUCCAAGUUAUGUGCCCCAUUAUCGCUCCUUGUCCCCAUUGAUAAUUACAGAAAGAGACCUUGAAAUCACCUGCUCUUUGGAUGAGAAUUCAGAGGCGGAGGGCUGUUUCCUGGAUCCCCUCCAAGGAGACGUUCUGGAAAGCAUCACUCCAGGUAAGUCUCGCUCUGCUCUUCCCAAGAGCAUCAGGCGAUGCCCUGCGGUCUUGCCAGGUGUGCGAAGGAAGCCGCUUUGUGGCUGACUUGUCCCUCUGGUCCACGUACAGAGCCGCCUCCGCCUGGGUACCUGCCGGCAGAAGGCCUGCUGUUCUCCACCUCCGGCCCUUCCCUGGUGUCUGCUUUGCUGCAAGAGUCCACGCAGAGCUGCCCCCCCGCCAGGCCUACGUCUCCAGGGACGAGCGGCUGCGUCCCUUCCAGCGUCCGGGUCCCCUCGGCUCCCGCUGCAGAGCAGAGUCUGCAGCAAGAGAGGUUGGAGCCACAAGCCUCGCCCCGCGGCCGCCCUCCUUCGCCUUCCCGCACCUGGCUAGAGGAGCCUGAAAGAACUUCCUCUCCGCAGAAGGACGUCAGCGGAGCAGAUGUGCUCCCCAGCCCACUCUGUGGUGCAGAGCGGAAGCCGCCCAGCUCAGUCGAGAGAUGCAGCAUGGUGGAGCUGCCAGCUAUGCAAAGCGAUGGGAGGCCGGAAGGCAGAGGAGAAGAGCCCGCAGUACAGUAAGGAUGCUCUUUUUUGUGCCUCUUGGG
This 1842-nucleotide long non-coding RNA is filed under the name Pseudonaja textilis. Its description in RNAcentral is "lncRNA (ENSPTXG00000014072.1)". Lineage: Eukaryota; Metazoa; Chordata; Lepidosauria; Squamata; Elapidae. The record is from RNAcentral.